Molecule: ribosomal RNA, 359 nt
Filed under: uncultured bacterium
Lineage: Bacteria
Description: bacterial SSU rRNA
Rfam family: Bacterial small subunit ribosomal RNA
Source: RNAcentral
UUGAACGCUGGCGGCAGGCUUAACACAUGCAAGUCGAGCGGAGAGAGGUAGCUUGCUACUGAUCUUAGCGGCGGACGGGUGAGUAAUACUUAGGAAUCUGGCUAUUAGUGGGGGACAACAUUUCGAGAGGGAUGCUAAUACCGCAUACGUCCUACGGGAGAAAGCAGGGGAUCUUCGGACCUUGCGCUAAUAGAUGAGCCUAAGUCGGAUUAGCUAGUUGGUGGGGUAAAGGCCUACCAAGGCGACGAUCUGUAGCGGGUCUGAGAGGAUGAUCCGCCACACUGGGACUGAGACACGGCCCAGACUCCUACGGGAGGCAGCAGUGGGGAAUAUUGGACAAUGGGGGGAACCCUGAUCCU